GACGAACGCUGGCGGCGUGCUUAACACAUGCCAGUCGAACGGAAAGGCCCUGCUUUUGUGGGGUGCUCGAGUGGCGAACGGGUGAGUAACACGUGAGUAACCUGCCCUUGACUUUGGGAUAACUUCAGGAAACUGGGGCUAAUACCGGAUAGGAGCUCCUGCUGCAUGGUGGGGGUUGGAAAGUUUCGGCGGUUGGGGAUGGACUCGCGGCUUAUCAGCUUGUUGGUGGGGUAGUGGCUUACCAAGGCUUUGACGGGUAGCCGGCCUGAGAGGGUGACCGGCCACACUGGGACGGAGAUACGGCCCAGACUCCUACGGGAGGCAAGGGUGGGGAAGAUUGCACAAUGGGCGGAACGCUGAUGCAGCAACGCCGCGUGGGGGAUGAGGGCCUUCGGGUUGUAAACCGCUUUCGCCUUUGACGGAGCGUGAGUGACGGUAAUGGGUAAAGAAGCACCGGCUAACUACGUG
RNAcentral lists this ribosomal RNA (468 nucleotides) under uncultured bacterium. Its description in RNAcentral is "partial 16S ribosomal RNA". It matches the Rfam family "Bacterial small subunit ribosomal RNA", at positions 28 to 507 of the family's 1533-position model. The record is from RNAcentral.